AUUGAACGCUGGCGGCAUGCCUUACACAUGCAAGUCGAACGGCAGCACGGGAGCAAUCCUGGUGGCGAGUGGCGAACGGGUGAGUAAUAUAUCGGAACGUGCCCAGUAGUGGGGGGAUAGCCCGGCGAAAGCCGGAUUAAUACCGCAUGAGACCUGAGGGUGAAAGCGGGGGAUCGCAAGACCUCGCGCUAUUGGAGCGGCCGAUAUCAGAUUAGCUAGUUGGUGGGGUAAAGGCCUACCAAGGCAACGAUCUGUAGUUGGUCUGAGAGGACGACCAGCCACACUGGGACUGAGACACGGCCCAGACUCCUACGGGAGGCAGCAGUGGGAAUUUGACAAUGGGCGCAAGCCUGAUCCAGCAAUGCCGCGUGCAGGAAGAAGGCCUUCGGUU
This 391-nucleotide ribosomal RNA is filed under the name uncultured bacterium. RNAcentral describes it as "bacterial SSU rRNA". It matches the Rfam family "Bacterial small subunit ribosomal RNA", at positions 29 to 423 of the family's 1533-position model. The record is from RNAcentral.